RNAcentral lists this long non-coding RNA (1789 nucleotides) under Sus scrofa (pig). RNAcentral describes it as "lncRNA (ENSSSCG00040019343.1)". Lineage: Eukaryota; Metazoa; Chordata; Mammalia; Artiodactyla; Suidae. The record is from RNAcentral.
UUUUUUCUGUUACUGCAGUAUCUUACACUGAUUGAUUUUCAUAUGUUGAACUAUCCUUGCAUUCCAGGAAUAAAUCCCACAUCAUCAUGUGUAUAAUCCUUUUAAUAUGCUGUUGAAUUUGGUUUACUAGUAUUUUGUUGAGAAUUUUAAUAUUAAUAUUUAUAAGGACUAUAGAUCUGUAAUUUUCUUGUAUAUCUUCGGCUUUGAUAUCAGGCUAAUGCUGGGCUUGUAGAAAUAUUUAAGAAAUAUUCCUUCCUUUUCAAAUUUUAAGAAGAAUUUGAGAAGGGUUGGUGUUAAUUCUGAAAUGUUUGGUAGAUUCACCAACAAAGCUAUCUUGUCCUCUUGUCCUGCUCUCUUCUUCAUUGGGAGGUUCCGAGUCAUUCUUUUUUUUUUUUUGCUUUUCAGGGCCACACCCAUGGCAUAUGGAGCCCAAAGAAAUAGCAAAAAAUUAAAAAAAUAAAUAAAUAAAAUAAAUCAAUGUCUUAAAAAAAAAAAAAAAGAAAGAAAACAUUUCCCUAUAUUUGAACCCAGGAGAUGUCUCUGCUAUGACUCUUAUUCUGCCCUAGGAGCCAAACAGAGCAAGAAGAAACACUUUCCACAGAUCUACUCUUCAAAUAUUUGGGGGUUAGGACUCAUAUCUUUUGGAGACUCUGCCUGUUUCACCAUUUUCAAUUUCUCCCCCUUCCCUGAACUAAUGAACCAGCCAAACCCAAACUCAUCAUAGCCUCCAGGGUCCCACAGAACUGGGGCCCUGCCCACCCUGCCAACCUCAGCUCACACGCUUCUCUUUUGGGCUCACCUUGCUUCAGCUACACAGCCUCUUUUCUGUUGGGCAACACUGCCAAGCUCUUCCCUGCCUUCUCUUCAGCUCCGUGACUAGAGGGCUUAUGGAUGCUCGGGCAGAUCCCUGACCCUCACCGAGGUCUCCCUGGUAGAUAAAGUCCCUGACUACUCAUAGAAUCUCCCAGAUCCCCCAGGUGGCAUGGAUGGCAGCAGGGCAGCUGGAGUGGGGACCCAGACUUGGCUGGCCCAUGGCAUCUGAAUUGAGGGAAAAACGGAAAGAGGUCAAAAAGGGAGAGAACCAGAGGUGACUUUUCCACCUCGCCCUGUCUGGAAGCAUCUCACCCACCCCUGGUCCACUCCAGGGUCCCACAUGUGAGACAGUGCUGGUGUCUCCCUAUGGUGUGCCCUCUCUCCACUGAGUGGUCCCCGCCCCCAGGCUUGCCUUUGUCCCUUUGUCCAGGGCCCAUGCUCCUCCUCUUUUGGUUUCUCAGCGUCCUCAUGCUUCCAUCCCAAGCUGAGCUGGCCCAGGAGACAGCCAUUGCAUGAGAGCCUUGGGGACAGUGUGGCAGGUGUGACUCUGGGACCCUGGCUCUUGCCUCAGCUAAAGCUUGAGGGAGCUUCCCACUUGAUGGGAAGGUAGGAGGCUCAAGCAUGGGGGUGUGGAGGUGGGGCGGUCAGCCAGAGGCUAAGAUAUGGCUGCUUAUCCUGGGGAUCCACCCACCAGCCAUGUGUGCCACCCAGGCAAGUCCUCUCUGGCCCUAUCACGCCCAUGUGUGAAAGGGGAUCCAGCUGAGUCGUCUCUGGGACCCCCUCAGCUCUGACAUCCUGAGUCUCCGGGCCCAGGAGCUGGGACAUUGAGUGGUCCCUGGCUGAGCCCUCCCCGCCUCAGUGCUCCCAGAGCCCCUCCCCCCCAGCAGUUCCCUUCCACACUGCCCCGCCCCCGCGUCCCAUCCAUCCUCCUCUCCGCUGUAGCUGCUGCUUAACCUCCACAGGGGGCCGAGGAGCC